GUCGUUCAGUAAUGGUGACUGCUAUGAGGGUGAGUUCCACAUGGGGCGUUGCAGCGGGAGUGGCGUGUACAGCUUUGCGAUGAAGGGGAGGUACGAGGGGGACUGGGUGGACGGGAAGUAUGAUGGGUAUGGAGUCGAGACGUGGGCGAGGGGGAGCCGGUAUCGGGGGCAGUAUAGCCGGGGCCUGCGGCACGGGCUCGGGGUGUAUCGGUUUUAUAACGGGGAUAGUUACGCCGGUGAGUGGCUGAACGGGCAGAGCAAUGGUGUCGGGGUUCAGACGUGCUCAGAUGGGAGCUGCUAUGUUGGGGAGUUCAAGCUGGGGGUGAGGCAUGGAUUGGGCUCAUACUGCUUCAGGAAUGGCGAUAGAUACUCUGGCGAGUACUUUGCAGACAAAAUCCAUGGUUUCG
Molecule: unclassified non-coding RNA, 407 nt
Filed under: Hevea brasiliensis (rubber tree)
Lineage: Eukaryota; Viridiplantae; Streptophyta; Magnoliopsida; Malpighiales; Euphorbiaceae
Source: RNAcentral